This 422-nucleotide ribosomal RNA is filed under the name uncultured bacterium. RNAcentral's name for it is "bacterial SSU rRNA". It matches the Rfam family "Bacterial small subunit ribosomal RNA", at positions 355 to 774 of the family's 1533-position model. The record is from RNAcentral.
UGAGGAAUAUUGGACAAUGGGCGCAAGCCUGAUCCAGCCAUGCCGCGUGCAGGAAGAAGCAUCUAUGGUGUGUAAACUGCUUCUGUACGGGAAGAAACACUCCUACGUGUAGGAGCUUGACGGUACCGUAAGAAUAAGGAUCGGCUAACUCCGUGCCAGCAGCCGCGGUAAUACGGAGGAUCCAAGCGUUAUCCGGAAUCAUUGGGUUUAAAGGGUCCGUAGGCGGUUUAGUAAGUCAGUGGUGAAAGCCCAUCGCUCAACGAUGGAACGGCCAUUGAUUCUGCUAGAAUUGAAUUACAAGGAAGUAACUAGAAUAUGUAGUGUAGCGGUGAAAUGCUUAGAUAUUACAUGGAAUACCAAUUGCGAAGGCAGGUUACUACUUGUGGAUUGACGCUGAUGGACGAAAGCGUGGGGAGCGAACA